Molecule: ribosomal RNA, 243 nt
Filed under: Staphylococcus epidermidis
Lineage: Bacteria; Bacillati; Bacillota; Bacilli; Caryophanales; Staphylococcaceae
Description: partial 23S ribosomal RNA
Rfam family: Bacterial large subunit ribosomal RNA
Source: RNAcentral
GGAAGGCUCGUCCGCUCUGGGUUAGUCGGGUCCUAAGCUGAGGCCGACAGGCGUAGGCGAUGGAUAACAGGUUGAUAUUCCUGUACCACCUAGUAUCGUUUUAAUCGAUGGGGGGACGCAGUAGGAUAGGCGAAGCGUGCUGUUGGAGUGCACGUCCAAGCAGUAAGGCUGAGUGUUAGGCAAAUCCGGCACUCAUAAGGCUGAGCUGUGAUGGGGAGAGGAAAUUGUUUCCUCGAGUCGUUG